This 88-nucleotide transfer RNA is filed under the name Ralstonia solanacearum. Its description in RNAcentral is "tRNA-Thr". Lineage: Bacteria; Pseudomonadati; Pseudomonadota; Betaproteobacteria; Burkholderiales; Burkholderiaceae. The record is from RNAcentral. RNAcentral also lists the same sequence under 1 other name.
GGCUCCGGUGGCGGGGAUGCCGGUGCUGCUCGUGGUGGCAGUGGCAAGAGUCCCGUCGCUGCCGGCGUCCCCCUCGCCGCCGCAGCCG